CGCCACGGGCACAGAGCUGCUGGCUCUCUAUAUUCAGCUGCUCAGAGGCGCUCUGACACCAUUCACUCCAGAGUCCUGCACACACACAGAGGACCUGUCCACCCUGCUGCAAGACCUCUGGAUAGCGCAACGCGGACGACUUUUUUUUCCUCCUCUUUUAGUUUGGAUUAUCUUCAUGUUAGUUGUUUUUUUUAGAUGAGAGAGAACAAAAAGUUGUGCAGGUAUUUGUUCAGUUUUCCAAAAAGACAAAGGAGCAACAUCUCAGUGCGCUGGGGUGAAGCCUUUUUUUUUUUUUUUUUGUAUGUGAGGUGAAGGACAAGUGCAACGCGCGCCUGGCUCGUUUCUUGGAAUUGUCCGACGCGCGCCUGAGGAACCAUGUCGUGCUGCAGCGCGGGGCUUCUUCAACAGGACGCAACCCCGAUGUGAAUAAGAGCCAGAUCCAACUCCUCGGCUUUCCCUAUGAGCAAAGUGCAGCGCGGUGUGUGACUGAGCUGCUCUGACGCUUUUACAGUUGUUUUUAUUUGUUUAUUUUCCUCCCCCGGGGAGGGGGAUGGUUGUGGAUCCUCAGGAGCCAGGAGCGACUCGGGGGCUCCUACACAGCAGCAGCAGCAUUAGCGCAUUUUUCCUGUUUGGGUUUGACUCUGAAUUAAAGGGAGAUGAGAACCGCACUUUGUUACUUCCUGCUGUGGACGUCGUACCUGCUGGCCGCAGCUGAGGAAGCGGAGUUUCCCCAGGAGCUGCUGGACCGACUCUCAAACAGUGAAAUCCACAGCAUCAGCGACCUCCAGCGGUUACUGGAGAUAGACUCCGUAGGCACGGGAAAUGAUGUCAUUGAGGAGCACAAGUACCGCAAACACCACAACCACCACAAUCACCACAAGAACUUCUCUCAACAUCAAAGCUACUACAAUGGCCUGAAGAGCUCUCAGCUACACAGCAGACGCAAGAGGAGCAUUGUCGAGGAGGCGGUCCCGGCGGUGUGCAAAACACGAACGGUGAUCUAUGAGAUCCCCAGGAGCCAUGUGGAUCCCACAUCUGCCAAUUUCCUGAUAUGGCCYCCCUGUGUGGAGGUGAAGCGCUGCACAGGCUGCUGCAACACCAGCAACAUGCGCUGUCACCCAUCCCGCAAGCACCACCGCACGGUUAAGGUAGCCAAGGUGGAGUAUGUGAGGAGGAGACCCAAGCUCAAAGAGGUCUUUGUACGAUUAGAAGACCACCUGGAGUGUAUGUGCACAUUACAACAUCAUGUGGUAGAGCACUUAGACUCAGAAACAGGCCUUCGUAGGGCUAAAGGUAAAAAAAGGAAACCUAAAAAGCAAAGGCCCAUCAAGGACUUAUUGGUGACAUAAUAAAGUCGCUCUUGUUACCCAAAGUCCACUGGGAGGCUGUGACGGGAACAGUAGAUGUGAGGUGAGACGAGUCAGAACAAGGGAUUUCAGCAUGGACAGGACCUAAAAUAGAAGAUGCCAUCAAGAGGACACCUUCUCCGUCUUCCUUCCAACUGCCAUGCAAACUUUAAGAACAUAAACUUUUCUGUAAAGAGACUGAAAAAUAAACAAAAACAAAUGAGAUGCCAAAGGUGCUUUGAAAACACGAUGACUGUCUUCACGGCAAUGGAACUGUGCUGCUUAAAAAGGUGGGAAGACAUGCGGCCACAAAGCUCAGACUGAGCAGAAAAAGGCCAGCAGGAGAGGAUGAAAAAUGAAGUUGUGAUGAACUUUUCAACAAAGGUUGUUUGAAAAUAUAUUCAACUGAAACAGCCUGUUGGAUCACACUUUUUGUGGGAAUCCUAGUGCUCUACCAGAACAUAAGUACGCUGCUUUGUUUAAAUGACUCUUGCAUACAAAGGAAGAAAGAGUGUGAUAUAGGAACGACAAUACAAACAUAAAGGUGAAAAACAGCUGGAGAGCGUUUACUUUUUAAAACUUUUGACCUCUGGUUGUCUGUGACUUUGCCCUCCUGCGAUGUACAGUUAAGUUUGAAAAAAAAAAAGAAAAAACAAACAAACAACGGAUGUUCUGCUUAGUACAAAGUAUUUAUGUGUUUGGACAUUUUACAUUUGUCCCUUUCAAUGUUCAAGAAAGGACAAAAAAGUUCAUGUUUAAUAAUUUUGUAGACAUGCAAGUGUUCUGUGUGGUCCAGUUCUUUCAUUAUCACAACCUCAGUGUCAUUUUUUAAACCUUUUUUAUUUUCUUGUCAACCAUGUUUCAUAUUAUAUUGCAAUAUAUCUGAAAACUAUCAUGUCUUGCGUAUAAGUUUGGAUAUAAUUAUGUGUGCAAGGAGAAGAUGUGAGAGUCAGUAAGAUGCUUUAUUUUUGUUAUGAAAUAUAUUAUGCAUACCUAUAUCCAAGCAGGAA
Austrofundulus limnaeus is the source of this 2356-nucleotide RNA transcript. It is a transcript of the gene named platelet-derived growth factor alpha polypeptide b, with no coding region annotated. The record is from RefSeq and is a predicted model, not a curated record. NCBI's taxonomy places the organism in Eukaryota, Metazoa, Chordata, Actinopteri, Cyprinodontiformes, Rivulidae. The transcript has 7 exons.